This 497-nucleotide ribosomal RNA is filed under the name uncultured bacterium. RNAcentral's name for it is "partial 16S ribosomal RNA". It matches the Rfam family "Bacterial small subunit ribosomal RNA", at positions 28 to 507 of the family's 1533-position model. The record is from RNAcentral.
GAUGAACGCUGGCGGCGUGCCUAACACAUGCAAGUCGAGCGAACGGACGCGUAGCUUGGUUCUCUGAUGUCAGCGGCGGACGGAUGAGUAACAUGUGGUGAACCUACCUAUAAGACUGCGAUAACUUAGGGAAACUGGUGCUAAUAACGGAUAAUAUCUUGAACCGCAUGGUUCAAAAGUGUAAGCCGGUCUUGCUGUAACUUAUAGAUGGAACCGCGCUGCAUUAGCUAGUUGGUAGGGUAACUGCUUACCAAGGCAACGAUGAAUAGCCGACCUGAGAGGGGGAUGGGGCACUCUGGGGGUGAGACGCGGUACUGACUCCGACAGGAGGCAGCGGCACGGACGCGUCGGAGAUGGGCGGAAGACUGACGGAGCAGCGCCGGGUUAGUGAAGAAAGUCCGCGGAUCGUAUGACUCUGUUAGGGUGGAAGAACAUAUGUGUAAGGAGCUGUGCACAUCGUGACGGUACCUGAAGAAGAAGCCACGGCUAACUACGUG